This 7824-nucleotide long non-coding RNA is filed under the name Gallus gallus (chicken). RNAcentral describes it as "lncRNA (ENSGALG00010022118.1)". Lineage: Eukaryota; Metazoa; Chordata; Aves; Galliformes; Phasianidae. The record is from RNAcentral.
AUCACAGCCCGUGUGUGCCUGCUGCUCGGUGCCCAUCCCUUUCUGUAGUGUAAGCACUCUGCUCCCUUCCCUUGGUAGCAGUGGUGGGUCUGGUGCUGCGUUUCAGCAUGUCUGCAUGCGUAUCUUUAGUCCUGCAAUAAUCCCCAUUGCACAGAUGGUUCCACCUGGUAUUUAAGCCUUCACUUCACUUUGUUUUAAGGCUUGCUUAACAGUUUUCUUGUUGAUCGACUCAGCAUCAAUCACCGUAAUGUGCCAGAAAUGCUGUUCCCAUUAACAACUGCAUUUUGUUGGAAGCUGGGUAGCCCACAGUGCUGCUCCGGGUCCAGCACAAGGAUGGGCAUUUAUCUGUGAAAGCUGGGGGAUCUGCAGCCCACAGCACCCUGCAGUUGUAUGGAGCAGCCCUGAGAAGUCGCCCUGCAUCCAGGUUCCCAGGCCUGUCCCAGUUUGGGCACACAGCAUCGAUGUGAUGACACCUGCAGACCUCUGCUGCAACUGGAACUAAAGUUUGAGAGCAAACAGCCUGGAGUGCAUGUUCACAAGCUGCAGCUACCAGCUGGACACCAAGGAUGAAGUGGCACCAGCUACCAGCUUUGCUUGUACUCACUGCCACAUAUUGCACAUCAAGCCAGCUGCAAGAAACUAAGCCAUUAAGCUGCCUUCUCAUACACAUUAAUUAUGAAGAUACCAUCACUCAUGUUUGUCAACUACAAACCGUCCUGUGAUAAUUGAUUUAUUUUCUUUUAGUGCAGGGAGUUGUAAUGCUGAAGUUGCAAACUGUGCUGGCAGGCAAUUCCUGCAAGGACCCGAUCCCAGUGAGCUGGUGAAACCUCCCUUUGUCACCACAAGGCCUGGAAAGGUGUAGACCGAUGUCCCCCAUCCUCUUGGCCAGUGUGCCUACCUUCUGGUAUCUGCCCUCGCCAAAGGUGUCCUUCUGACAUAGGUUUGGCUGAAGAUCAGGCAAUUAUUUGAUGCUUUGAAUGUUGACUUAGGGAAAAGCUUUCAGGCCAAGAGGGUGUUGCUCGAAGCCUAUCUCAGGCACCCUCAACACCCCUAAAUUUUGCUGGGAUCCAUUGGUUCUGAGUACCCUGAGUCCCCUCUUUGCCAUCUCCAAUGUGUUUAUGGGCAAUGAGAGGGGCUGUUGUCCCUCUUCCAAAGGCAAAGGCAGCAGUGAUGGUGAAGCCCAAGCCCAUGCUUUUUCUGUUCUCCUCCAGCCCAUGCUGCUGGCACUGGGCUCUCCUAACACAUCUCUGCCCUUUCCUGCUGCAGGGAAAGACUGCAACAUAGGGCAGGAGAGGAAAAACCCCUCCAAUUAUGCUUUCUGCCUGUGCUGGCCAUGGUCUGCAGCCCAAGUUACCAAUGGGACUUGCUAAUAGAGCAUCUGGGACAGUCUUGCACUGUUUUCCCCAUAGCUGGUUUUCGGAUUAGUGCCUCCCAGCUGAUCGCUCUCCCAGAUGUGUGUGUGUCCAUACAUGCAGUCAGAUCACUGAUGGAUGCUCUGCAGCCAUCUGGAUGUCGGGGAGAAAUGACAAAUUUCCCCCUUACUGCCAGCCACCCCUUCCAUGAGAUAUUGAUGAAUGGCAUCUUUAUUGGCUGCUGGGCUAAUUAAAUAAAAGUUGCAUCAGCUUCUAGCUGACAGGCUCUAAUUGCUCCUGAUCAGAUUUUGAGAGGACCAAAUGAAUAGGAAAAUAAAAGGAAAUAGCAUGGAUUGGAUCCAAGAAAGUAUCUGACAGCAUUGUGCUUCUGUAGACCUGCAGGUGCUCAACACUGCAAAAGGAGUGUCUGGGAACCAGCAACCCUGCUGUGUUUAGAGGGUUUAGAAGGAUGCUUAAGCCCCAGGGCGGAGUGCCCAGGUUUUGGGUGGGUCCAGGACCUGGUGCACCACACAUCCCAGCACAGACAAACAUACCAAGAUGAAUGGUGAGGCUCUGUCACUUCAGUGGUGUCUGCUCCCCAGGGGACCCUGAGGCUAUAUCUGGGCACAGCCAUUCCAAGAGGCUUGUGCCAUGUUUAAUUUAUGGGCUGAUUAAUGAGUUCUUAGCAUACAAUGCAUUUAAUUCCAUUUUGGCCUGAUUUAUGGUAGGACGUGAACCGCAUGUGAAGUUUUUAAUUCAGUAGGUGGUGACUCUGAUUCAGUAUAUGGAGUGUGACGGAAGAGGUGAUGAAUUUGGUUCCAAAGGCAAUGCAUCAAGCUCAGCAUGAAGUGCCCCAAAUCUAUUGCACGUCGCAUCGGCUUCAAAUAUGCCCAUAGUAAGUGGGGCACCCUUACCUGAGUCCCACAGCCACCACCUUCCCUUGCUGAUGGUCUUCUCUUCAGCCUUCCAGGAUGUGAAGAAAACCAGCAAAACAGCCCAUCAGGUGCUGGUUAGAUAUUUGUCUUCAACUCAAUACAUGGCCAGCCCCACAACUAACGUGUAAGGGUGGCUGAAAACCUGCUGGCAAAAUGCUCGAAGAAACAGAAAACUUGUAUUGGAGGGAAAUGAAACCCCAGGGCACAAAACUUAUGUCUGGAAACCUUUGUCUUAAGACUCGAUAGAGGGCUGCAGCCAUCAGGGUGGAUAAAGAUGAGGAUGUUUUCCAUCAACUGUGUUAAUCCGAUCUGUCUCUGCAUACAGUUUUUUUUUUUGGAGAGCAGAUAAAAUACAACAGAUCCUGACAUGCUGAUCAGCCAAACCCUGCUGCCAUUUACAGGCAGGGGCUCCUACUGUGCCACGUACCCAAGAAGGGAUGCACCAAGGACACAAACAGGGGCUUGAGUACCUCUAAUGUACCCCUGCUCUGCUUGCAGUGAGGUGUUUGCAGGCUUGGUCUUUGCCCAAAACCUCUCCAGGAAACACAUCGUGCUGCUCCUGCCGCUGUCACCCAGGCAGCUUCAACCCUGGUCUCCAGAAGGGUAGAACAAACCCCUCUGGCAUGCUUUAAAUAGUUGAAACAACACCCUUCCAAGAGCAAAAACACUCACAAAUUUGAACUCCCAUUUUGGCAUCACCUCACGAACAACUUUGCUAAUGAAAUGCUGGGUUUGGGGAGCCUCUGUGCCCUCUCUGCCAUCCCACAACAUCCAAGGGAGGAUGCUUAUGCCGUGCUGUGCCCCAGGCAUGGCAAUGAGCACUGGGGACCCUCCCAGUGCUGUCUCUGUGCAGCCAGCCUCAGUGGCUGCAUCUGGGAUGCCAGUCUCUGCUCCUGUGUUGUGGCCAUGGGGUAAUGGGCUGGGCUUUGUGGCACUGCUCAACAUGCUGCAGCACAGCUCAAACACCCUGCAGGGCUUUACACUGCCAGAAAAUGUCUUGGUUGUGGAGAAGAGCAUGUAAUUUCUUUUCUUUGUUUAUUUGUUUUGCAUGGGAGGCAAGGCUGAUGGCUCAUAAUGAACAAGUAUUAUAGCUGAGUGCAGUUGGGCCCAUAAAUCAGUUGCUCCUUCUGGAGCACCAGCCAUCAGCAGCUGUCUGAGCUCUAAAAUCACCAGCACCAGCAUCUCCUCCGGAACAGGAGCAGUCUGCUGACACUGCCAUCCCCCUGGUGUCCUUCUCCAGCACUAUGUGCUGUGAAGAGCCAGGCCUCCUGGUGGCUGAUAUCCUCCUGUUUACAUUGCCAAGGCCUUCAGCAGUUAUCUUGGUCCUCCUUCAAAUCCAGUGUCUAUCAUCGGCUUUGUCUGGCAUCCGUGAGACUGCUGCAUCCUGGUGGGCUGGCUUGUAUCUCUGCUGUUUAUUCUUCACUAUCUCCAUCCAUCCAUCCAUCCAUCCACCCACCAACCCACCCAUCCAUCCAUCUUUCAUUUAACACUGCAAGACCAUAGCACAGGAAAUAUCUCUUUUCUCCAUUCUAUUCCAUUCCUUUAGCAGCAGGUUUUGACUGAACAAAUUCCUUUUUUGCCCGUGAACAUAGCGAGCUUUAAAAUGUGACCUGAGACCUCUAUGUAAGGUCUGUCCUCUGUAUGCAGAGCAUAAUAGCUGGACAUGGUCCUUUCCUGAUGGCUUGUGCCUUUUCUGUGCAGAGAGAACAACCUGUAGCUUCAUGUGAGAAACUCCCUGCUCACAGCAGCGGGUGCUUGAGUUAGCUGAUAAUCCACAAUGAUGAGCUUUCUAUGUACUACAGCACCCAGGAGACCUGAGGUGAAUACCCGAGCACAUUUCUCUGUUGGCAUAUAGCUCAGAUCCAGGCUAAUAGCAAUGCCUUCUCUUUAAAAGGUUUUAAGUUAUAUAAUGUGGGCAGUUCCUCGCUUGUUUUGGAUCCACCUGGAAAUCAGCAGCUCCCUGAUUGCCACCACCAGCAUCUGCCUGGGUGCAGUUGUGCUGUACAGCUUCAGGUUACAAAGAGAGCUGAAACUUCCAGACAUAUGGUGCUCGAUUCCCAACUGGUAAUUGCAUCAACUUAGGAUCAAUGGAGUGGAAUAAUAUCUGCCCACUAAUAACAGUCUAAUAAAAUUAAUAGCAUUGGCUAUGCCAUGAAUUACUUUAAAGUAGGGAUUGGAGGAUAGUAACGUAAACAAGCAUUGAUUUUCCUCAGGGAAAUGGACUGCUGUGUCUCCUCAGAGCAGGCUUUUGGAGGGCUGCGCUGCUGCUGUGGCAGUGCCUUUGCUCCUUGCGGGGUCACUGAAUGUCCACCACUUUAUUUGUGCUGUUCCCAUCGAACAUCAUGCUUGUGUGUUUGCAGCAUCCUGCUGCUGCUGGCUUUCUCAAAGCCCUGGGGAGCAAAGCUCUCUGACAUGCACAGCCCAUGCAUCACAUCUUGGUGAGCAGAGGCUGCGAGGCCAUGCUGAGGUUGCUGACGUGUCCUUCUGCAGUGUGCAGGGAGUCACUUAUCUCCCUCCUGAACACCGCGUUUUAAAGACAGCCUGCUUUAUUUUUAGCUUUUAAUGUGGUGUAAUUUUGAGCUGCUGCAUUCAAGCAGAUGGACAUUUGGUGUCCGGAUAGACAACACAACAUAAAGUAACAAUCAUCUGGUUCCUCUCCAUCUGGAUUUGCCAAACAAAUCAUUAUAGCGAAACUCCUUCAGAGAGGAGACUGAGCUCAUUGGCACCAACAUGCCAUAAGCGACAGAAGACGCCCGACUCCACACAAUACAUCCAUCCCAAUCCCCUGCUGGAAAUCAGGGAGGUUAAAAAUAAAAACCCUUUGAGUUUUGACUGUUUACACAGCUGUAGCAUAAAUAUUUAGAUUUGCGAUAGAAACGCUUGCUCAGCCAAAACCCUUCCCAGAUCUCUGCAGUCAGCAGCGGGGCUUUAUAGAGGCCUGGCGUUUCCUUGGAAAACUGAAACUGAUGAUAAUGAAAGCCGAGAGCAACGUCCAUCUGUGGUGCCGCAGCACCAGGGACACGGGUGACACUCACCAAGGGACACCGGGCAUGGGUACGGACACGGGGCCACGGGCAGCAGCCCCAGAUGCAUCCUCCAUCCUCCUGGCACCACCUCGUGGCCUGGGCCGUGUCGGCUCCUUCCAUCUCUUCACCUGCUGAAAGCCACGGAGAGGAUUUCCCACCCGGCAAACCGUCGCUUUAGGAGCACCGUAAGGUACAGCCAUUAUUAAAACGGGUUCUUUUCCUAAUGCACCUACUGUGUCUUCAUUAUGUCAGCGCACCUCUAUGAAGAGAUUUGUAGAGGAAUCCAUCCAUUCAUUCCCACACCUAAUUCCUCAAUAGCCCAUUUGCUUCAAAGACUUUUAUCGACUUUUACUACUGCAUGAAUCCUCAGAUAUUUAUUUUUUAGGCCCCGGGGGACCCACUGUAGAAGAAAUGCGCUUUAUGAAGUUUUAUGGCAAAGGUUUUGCUGUGGAUAAAAGCUUCCCAUUAUUUCUGAACUUCUGUUCUCCACAAAGCAGGUUUCGUAGGGUCUGCUCUGAGACUGCCACAGGGCUCCUUGGACUGAAAAUUCAGCUCCUAGGAAUAAGUAAGAAAAGGAAAAGGACUUCCCACUGAUAUUUGGUGUUUUGGGUCCUGUUGUUUCAAAUGUUUCAGUUUGGCGGCGCACUCUGGGACCCCACCUGUUCUGGGAUGAGCACGGGCAGGCCGCAGCAUGGAUAAAGCUUUUUCCCACCCCCAUCAUCACUUGCUGUCAGCGACGUUCUCAGAUGUGGGACCUUAAACUAGGCUGGCAGAGCAGGUAGCAAAACCAACACCACGAGCACCUGAGACAUCUCCAGCCCUCCAGGUUGGCCUGGGAAAUUGUGAGUGACAAGAACUGGCGCAAUUAGGCCCGGUCAUCCCAGGUUAUCACCAGCAUCCUACAACCCUGCUGCUCCGUCCUCUCCUUCCCCCAGAACUUUGCUCUCUCAUUAAUCGAAACAAACUUUCUGUCACUGCUGAUUGCAUUACCCGGUAUCAGCUGCCUGGAAGGAUGAAAAUAAAAGCUGGGAAGCGUGCUCCUUCUGUCCAAAUAGAGAGGUGCCAAGGAGUGUAAUAUAAUCAGGCCAUGAUCAAAUUAAGUGGAAGAGACUGCACCGUGCCCACAAAAUAUCUGUCCCCGUGAUUAAUUUGAGGUUUGGUCCCUGUUUGCUGAUGCGAUUGGAGGUCCCUGCAAUGUGGGAGAGGCUGGGAGACCACAGCCGGGGCUUGGAGAGGUGUCCCCACUGCACCUCCCCAUCAAAGUGCCCAAACUGCCUCUCCAGCAAAGGAAAAGGCCUCAGGGCAGCUGAGCCUCACAGCCGGGCUGCAUCCUGCACAGAGCUUUCCUCCUUUGGGACAGCAGGAAGUGAAGAAGAGCAGAUGAGGGACAAAAGGAAAAGCUCGCUGUGAGCUUGGAAGGAAAAUCCACACAGCAUUUAUAUUGGAGGGAAGAAAAUGAGGAUUUACGGCUGUGGAAAGACUUGAGGCAGGGCCCCAGCACUGAGCACACCUCGAAUCAUGAUGGAUCUCCCAGCUGCUGCAGCUAAUGUGUUAUAUAUUGAAAUCAUUUGUGUUCAUUUGCAGCAAAUAAUUACUUUAAAAUGUUAUCAUUCAUUCGGGUUAUUUGACUUCUCUAUUAAUUGUUUGAGAAACCAUUUAGAAGACUGCAUUUUCAUCAGUGGAAAUCAUCAGCAUUGCUCCUGCAGUUGUUGGAACCCAUUCCUGAGGGCUGAAGGGCUGCUCACACCUCCAAUUUCCGGCUUCUCUCCCAGUUGCUGGGAAAUAUGCCCAUUUCCAUGUAAAGGUGCACCUGGUUGAGGCCGGGAUAAGGCUUGGAGGGGUCAGGAUUGGGGUGCUGGGCACAGGGCUGAGCGCUGCCUGCUGCCUCCCUGCACUGGGAAGGGCUCUGAUGGCCUUUUGGUCACAGGAGGAUGAUUUAAGGCACCAAAAGUUUCAAGCCAGGACUUUUAACUGAAAAGAGGCAUCGAUUUUCUGUAGCUGUGGGAAUAAAAGACUUGCUGUGGCACGAGAAGAAAAAGGAAAGCUGUUCAAGGAGCCACCUUGGCAUGUGCUGUGCAUGCUAUUAUCCGUGCUGUGCAGAGCAGAGAUGGAGGGCACUGGCACCUUUUGGGGUGCAGCACUACAGCCCCUUGCUUGGGCGGCAAAUCACAUCCCUUGAGCAAAACCAGGGAGAAAGGCGGAGCGAUGAAUGCCACAAGCCCUGCCUGCUCCCUGUGAAGAUCUGUCCCUGGGACCUGCCAGCAACUGCUGUGCCUGCACCUACCUCGUCCUGCUGCUAAUGGUGAGUUCCUGCGCUUCGAGUGUAUGUGGAGGCAGUUGGCCCUCAUUGCAUUGUUACGCGUGGUGUGAAUCAGGAAAAGGGGCUGCACAAAGCAUAUAGGAUGGAUUGUUUUUAUCUUUGCUGUACCCUUGAGCAACUCGUGUGUGUGCCUGCACAGGGUCAGGGCUGCAGUGCUCCCUGCAGGAAAGGCCCUGGCCAGUGCCCAGAGC